This 1911-nucleotide long non-coding RNA is filed under the name Gouania willdenowi (blunt-snouted clingfish). RNAcentral's name for it is "lncRNA (ENSGWIG00000004189.1)". The record is from RNAcentral. Lineage: Eukaryota; Metazoa; Chordata; Actinopteri; Blenniiformes; Gobiesocidae.
AAAAUGUUCCAGCACAAAAUAACAAGGAGUGUCUGACUCUGACAGUAAAUAUUCAUAUCAGAUGCUUUAAAUAGUGCUGCAUAUACAUAUAAGGUGUUAGUUCUACAGUUCAGGAUAGUUCAGUUCUCACCUACUCAUCAUGUUGAAGCUGAUCCUCUCUGUGACCGUCCUCUGGACAUUCUUCAGUCAAGCUGCAGCACUUGAUUGUCUAAGUUGCAAUGGUACAUGUUCAACUGAAACUACAGUUACAUGUUCUACAGAAACUAUGUGUGUAACUGCCACCAUCACAGAGACAUCCAUUUUUUCAGCUGACACAACAAAAAUCCACAAAGGAUGUGCAUCAUCAGAUCUGUGUCCAAUCACAGGCUCUCAAACAUAUGAACUUAACUUGGGUGUUUCAGGUGCACUGAUAUCUGUUGAGUGCUGUAACUUUGAUGGGUGUAACAAUGAUACCUUACCUGCACAUACUCAGUCACAGACUCUAAGUGGUCUCAGUUGUUUCUCCUGUGUAUUCGGUCGAUGUGAUGGUUCGAUUGACUGUAAGGGAGACGAGACCCUGUGUAUUCAAGGAACAUUGAACGAAGAAAUUCGUGGUUGUGUAUCACCAAAUGUGUGUCCUGCAAGUAGAAGGUUGGGAGAACUACCAUUAUUACCAGAUUUAGGAACCUUCAGCUCUGGACCAAACUGUUGUGAUACAGAUGAAUGUAAUGAUGGAACUACAACUACCCCACCUCCAACUACAACACCUGAAAGACUCAGAUGUCAAAGUUGCAAUGGUUCAUGUUCAACUGAAACUACAGUUACAUGUUCUACAGAAACUAUGUGUGUAACUGCCACCAUCACAGACACAGCAUCUGGUUCAUCUGACACACGAUACUACAAAGCGUGUGCAUCAUCAGAUCUGUGUCCAAUGACAGGCUCUCAAACAUAUGAACUUGACUUGGUUGUUUCAGGUGCACUGAUAUCUGCUGAGUGCUGUGACACUAAUGGGUGUAACAAUAAUACCUUACCUGCACAUACACAGUCACAGACUCUAAAUGGUCUCCGGUGUUUAUUCUGUGCUUUCGGCCGAUGUGAUCUUUCACUUGCCUGUAUGGGAGACGAGACGCUGUGUAUUCAAGGAACAUUGAACGAUGAAGCUUAUGGCUGUGUAUCACCAAGUGUGUGUACUGCAAGUAGAAGGCUGGGAGAAAUACCAUUAUUACCAGAGUUAGGAACCUUCAGCUCUGGACCAAACUGUUCUCAUACAGAUGUAUGUAGUGAUGGAACAACUACCACACCUCCAACCACAACUACCACACCUCCAACUACAACUACCACACCUCCAACUACAACUACCACACCUCCAACCACAACUUCCACACCUCCAACCACAACGACCACACCUCCAACUACAACUACCACACCUCCAACUACAACUACCACACCUCCUACUACAACUACCACACCUCCAACCACAACUACCACACCUCCCACUACAACUACCACACCUCCCACUACAACUACCACACCUCCCACUACAACUACCACACCUCCAACUACAACUACCACACCUCCAACCACAACUACCACACCUCCCACUACAACUACCACACCUCCCACUACAACUACCACACCUCCAACUACAACUACCACACCUCCAACCACAACUACCACACCUCCUACUACAACACGUGAGUUUAGUUCAUACAGUUUAAAAAUGGUUAAUUUUCAUAUUCUAUUCAAAUUUUGAUGUUUAAAAUAUAUUUAUUAUCAUCCUGUGAUUUUAUCUUCACUACAGCUGGAGGACUUAAAUGUCUAAGUUGCACUGGUUCAUGUUCAACUGAAACUACAGUUACAUGUUCUACAGAAACUAUGUGUGUAACUGCCACCAUCACAGGUUGGAUAUUUUUAUUUCCAUGCAUUAUGUUG